AUUGAACGCUGGCGGAAGGCCUAACACAUGCAAGUCGAGAGAGCGGCGGACGGGUGAGUAAUGUAUGGGGACUGCCCGAUAGAGGGGGAUAACUACUGGAAACGGUGGCUAAUACCGCAUACUAUUGGAUAACCCAUAUGGGAUUAGCUAGUAGGGGGGGUAAAGGCUCACCUAGGCGACGAUCUCUAGCUGGGCGGAGAGGAUGAUCAGCCACACGGGGACUGAGACACGGCCCAGACGCCUACGGAGGCAGCAGUGGGUAUUAUUGCACAAUUGGCGCACGCCUGAUGCAGCCAUGCCGCGUGUAUGAAGAAGGCCUUAGGGUUGUAAAGUACUUGCAGCGGGGAGGCGUUACCCGCAGAAGAAGCACCGGCUAACUCCGUGCCAGCAGCCGCGGUAAUAC
RNAcentral lists this ribosomal RNA (403 nucleotides) under uncultured bacterium. RNAcentral's name for it is "partial 16S ribosomal RNA". It matches the Rfam family "Bacterial small subunit ribosomal RNA", at positions 30 to 526 of the family's 1533-position model. The record is from RNAcentral.